GAUGAACGCUGGCGGCGUGCCUAACACAUGCAAGUCGAACGGAUUCCAGCCUUUAAGACCUUCGGGUCAAAGAGGGGAAGACUGAGUGGCGGACGGGUGAGUAACACGUGGGCAAACUGGCCAAUAGAGGGGAAUAACAGAGAGAAAUUUCUGCUAAUACCGCACAAGCUAACACUGCCGCCUGACAGGGGGAGAAAAGUGGAUCGCUAUGGGAUGGGCCCGCGACGGACUGGCUAGUUGGCAGGGUAAGAGCCCACCACAGCGACGACCAGUAGGCGAUCAGAGAGGCAGAGCGGCCACACUUGGGCGGGGACGCGGCCCGAAAUCUUACGGGAGGCAGGAGAGGGGGAUAUUGCAAAAUGGGGGGAACCCAGAUGCAGCGACGCCGCUAGAGUGAAGAAGUAUUUCAGGAUGUAGAGCUCUAUCAGCAGGGAAGAUAAUGACAGUACCUGAAUAAGAAGCCCCGGCUAACUACGUG
This 478-nucleotide ribosomal RNA is filed under the name uncultured bacterium. RNAcentral's name for it is "partial 16S ribosomal RNA". It matches the Rfam family "Bacterial small subunit ribosomal RNA", at positions 28 to 507 of the family's 1533-position model. The record is from RNAcentral.